Molecule: ribosomal RNA, 1143 nt
Filed under: Staphylococcus hominis subsp. novobiosepticus
Lineage: Bacteria; Bacillati; Bacillota; Bacilli; Caryophanales; Staphylococcaceae
Description: bacterial SSU rRNA
Rfam family: Bacterial small subunit ribosomal RNA
Source: RNAcentral
UUCGCCCCACAGGAAUUGAACCCCGUUCCAGUUUUUUAGGGAGGCACCAUAAGGAUUUUCCCCAAUUGGAGAAGCCCUGACGAACAACGCCGGCGGAGGGAAGAAGUUUUCGGAUCGUAAAACUUGGUUAUUAGGGAAGAACAAACGGGUAAGUAACUGGCCAGUUCUGGAGGGUACUAAUCAGAAAGCCCCGGCUAACUACGGGCCAGCAGCCGCGGUAAUACUUAGGUGGGCAGCUUUAUCUGGAAUUAUUGGGCGUAAAGCGGGGGUAGGCGGUUUUUUAAGUCUGAUGUGAAAGCCCACGGCUCAACCGUGGAGGGUCAUUGGAAACUGGAAAACUUGAGUGCAGAAGAGGAAAGUGGAAUUCCAUGUGUAGCGGUGAAAUGCGCAGAGAUAUGGAGGAACACCAGUGGCGAAGGCGACUUUCUGGUCUGUAACUGACGCUGAUGUGCGAAAGCGUGGGGAUCAAACAGGAUUAGAUACCCUGGUAGUCCACGCCGUAAACGAUGAGUGCUAAGUGUUAGGGGGUUUCCGCCCCUUAGUGCUGCAGCUAACGCAUUAAGCACUCCGCCUGGGGAGUACGACCGCAAGGUUGAAACUCAAAGGAAUUGACGGGGACCCGCACAAGCGGUGGAGCAUGUGGUUUAAUUCGAAGCAACGCGAAGAACCUUACCAAAUCUUGACAUCCUUUGACCCUUCUAGAGAUAGAAGUUUCCCCUUCGGGGGACAAAGUGACAGGUGGUGCAUGGUUGUCGUCAGCUCGUGUCGUGAGAUGUUGGGUUAAGUCCCGCAACGAGCGCAACCCUUAAGCUUAGUUGCCAUCAUUAAGUUGGGCACUCUAAGUUGACUGCCGGUGACAAACCGGAGGAAGGUGGGGAUGACGUCAAAUCAUCAUGCCCCUUAUGAUUUGGGCUACACACGUGCUACAAUGGACAAUACAAAGGGCAGCGAAACCGCGAGGUCAAGCAAAUCCCAUAAAGUUGUUCUCAGUUCGGAUUGUAGUCUGCAACUCGACUACAUGAAGCUGGAAUCGCUAGUAAUCGUAGAUCAGCAUGCUACGGUGAAUACGUUCCCGGGUCUUGUACACACCGCCCGUCACACCACGAGAGUUUGUAACACCCGAAGCCGGUGGAGUAACCAUUG